GAUGAACGCUGGCGGCGUGCCUAAUACAUGCAAGUCGAGCGAACGGACGAGAAGCUUGCUUCUCUGAUGUUAGCGGCGGACGGGUGAGUAACACGUGGAUAACCUACCUAUAAGACUGGGAUAACUUCGGGAAACCGGAGCUAAUACCGGAUGAUAUUUUGAACCGCAUGGUUCAAAAGUGAAAGACGGUCUUGCUGUCACUUAUAGAUGGAUCCGCGCUGCAUUAGCUAGUUGGUAAGGUAACGGCUUACCAAGGCAACGAUGCAUAGCCGACCUGAGAGAGUGAUCGGCCACACUGGAACUGAGACACGGUCCAGACUCCUACGGGAGGCAGCAGUAGGGAAUCGUCCGCAAUGGGCGAAAGCCUGACGGAGCAACGCCGCGUGAGUGAUGAAGGUCUUCGGAUCGUAAAACUCUGUUAUUAGGGAAGAACAUAUGUGUAAGUAACUGUGCACAUCUUGACGGUACCUAAUCAGAAAGCCACGGCUAACUACGUG
Molecule: ribosomal RNA, 497 nt
Filed under: uncultured bacterium
Lineage: Bacteria
Description: partial 16S ribosomal RNA
Rfam family: Bacterial small subunit ribosomal RNA
Source: RNAcentral